UGGGGUAAUAUGAAUAGAGGAUUAGAGGAUCCCAUUAAUACAUGACUUAUUUUCGGUCAGAUUCAGUUCGGGUAGUUUCGGAUUCGCUUCGGAUAGUAAAACUAGAACAGGAAAAUACCCAGAAAAUUUUGAUUCUCGUUUGGUUCUGAUUCUGAUUCGGUUAUUUUGCGUAAUUCAGAUAAUUUGGGUUAAAUAUUGAGUAUUUGGAUAAUUAUAUAAAAUUUGGUUCUUCAAAAUUGCUAAUUAACAUAAUGGUGACACAUGG
Molecule: long non-coding RNA, 265 nt
Filed under: Brassica napus (rape)
Lineage: Eukaryota; Viridiplantae; Streptophyta; Magnoliopsida; Brassicales; Brassicaceae
Description: long non-coding RNA (BNAP_LNC024083)
Source: RNAcentral